RNAcentral lists this ribosomal RNA (279 nucleotides) under uncultured bacterium. Its description in RNAcentral is "partial 16S ribosomal RNA". It matches the Rfam family "Bacterial small subunit ribosomal RNA", at positions 506 to 784 of the family's 1533-position model. The record is from RNAcentral.
UGCCAGCCGCCGCGGUAAGACGGAGGGGACAAGUCUUUAUCGGAAAGACUGGGCGUAAAGGGUCUGUAGGCGGUCCCUUAAGUGAAAGGCGAAAGGCCCGGGCUUCACCCUGGCAAGACCUUUCAAACUGGGGGACUCGAGUCGGAAAGGGGAUAGUGGAAUGUCUAGGGGAGGGCUAAAAUCCAGAGAGCCUAGACGGAAGGCCAGAGGCGAAGGCGACUAUCUGGGUCCUGACUGACGCUGAGAGACGAAAGCGUGGGGAGCGACCGGGAUUAGAUA